UACGUAGGGGGCUAGCGUUGUCCGGAAUCAUUGGGCGUAAAGAGCGUGUAGGCGGUCCGGUAAGUCCGCUGUGAAAGUCGGGGGCUCAACCCUCGAAUGCCGGUGGAUACUGUCGGGCUAGAGUGCGGAAGAGGCGAGUGGAAUUCCUGGUGUAGCGGUGAAAUGCGCAGAUAUCAGGAGGAACACCUAUUGCGAAGGCAGCUCGCUGGGACGUAACUGACGCUGAGACGCGAAAGCGUGGGGAGCAAACAGG
RNAcentral lists this ribosomal RNA (253 nucleotides) under uncultured bacterium. RNAcentral describes it as "partial 16S ribosomal RNA". It matches the Rfam family "Bacterial small subunit ribosomal RNA", at positions 524 to 776 of the family's 1533-position model. The record is from RNAcentral. RNAcentral also lists the same sequence under 1 other name.